Onychostoma macrolepis is the source of this 155-nucleotide long non-coding RNA. RefSeq lists it as uncharacterized. The transcript has 3 exons. The record is from RefSeq and is a predicted model, not a curated record. NCBI's taxonomy places the organism in Eukaryota, Metazoa, Chordata, Actinopteri, Cypriniformes, Cyprinidae.
ACGAGCGACUCCGUCAGAAGAGCAAAAGCACGGAGGAUCAGGACACAAUAAGACGCUGGAGUCUCCUGAGGACGCCUACAUGAGCCUUGAGCCCAAGUCCAGAUGUUCUGAAUACGACACACUGGAUAACAUGAAGAGAUCCUGUGAAAACACAG